GAGUCGAGUUGUUUGGGACUGCAGCUCUAAGUGGGUGGUAAAUUCCAUCUAAAGCUAAAUAUUGGCGAGAGACCGAUAGCGAACAAGUACCGUGAGGGAAAGAUGAAAAGCACUUUGGAAAGAGAGUUAAACAGUACGUGAAAUUGUUGAAAGGGAAACGAUUGAAGUCAGUCAUGCUCUUUGGUAUUUA
Molecule: ribosomal RNA, 190 nt
Filed under: Picocystis salinarum
Lineage: Eukaryota; Viridiplantae; Chlorophyta; Picocystophyceae; Picocystales; Picocystaceae
Description: partial Eukaryotic large subunit ribosomal RNA
Rfam family: Eukaryotic large subunit ribosomal RNA
Source: RNAcentral